Molecule: transfer RNA, 71 nt
Filed under: Camelus bactrianus (Bactrian camel)
Lineage: Eukaryota; Metazoa; Chordata; Mammalia; Artiodactyla; Camelidae
Also listed under: 2 other names
Rfam family: tRNA
About the family: Transfer RNA (tRNA) molecules are approximately 80 nucleotides in length. Their secondary structure includes four short double-helical elements and three loops (D, anti-codon, and T loops).
Source: Rfam by way of RNAcentral
GAGGGUAUGGCUCAGUGGUAGAGUGCGUGCUUAGUAUGCUCGAGGUCCUGGGUUCAAUCCCAGGAACUUCA